ACACAUUCCUUCUUAUUUUUUGUUUCUUAUCACUUUAUCACUGUACCAAAGUUCAACGAAGUUACUUAUUGCUUCCUUUAUCGGCUCAUUUCAUUUAUAGAAACCGGCAAGACUAGAUUUGUACAGUAUUAUAUCAAAAUGGCUUCCGUUGGUUCUGUGACACGCGUUUUGCUCGGCAAGAAUGUUCUCAACGGAGGCCGCUUUGUAGCAGCAUCGAAUACCGGUUUGGUGAAGUUUUACAGUGCAGCUCCAGCAUACGAAAACAUCAAGACUGAAGUGGUGGGUGCCAAGAAGAAUGUAGGUCUGAUCCAGCUACACCGGCCCAAGGCCCUGAACGCGUUGUGCAAGCCGCUGUUCCAGGAGCUCGGACAGGCUGUGCGCGCCUUCGAUGCUGAUGACUCCAUCUCAGCCAUUAUUCUCACUGGUAACGAGAAGGCGUUCGCCGCCGGCGCCGACAUCAAGGAGAUGCAGAACAACACUUUCUCUGACAACACGAAGGCCGGCUUCCUGCGCGAGUGGGAGGACGUGUCCAACUGUGGCAAACCCAUCAUCGCUGCCGUCAACGGCUUUGCUCUCGGCGGCGGCUGCGAGCUGGCCAUGCUGUGCGACAUCAUCUACGCCGGGGAGAAGGCCAAGUUCGGGCAGCCCGAGAUCAACAUCGGCACCAUCCCCGGCGCGGGCGGCACGCAGCGCCUGCCGCGCUACGUCGGCAAGUCCAAGGCCAUGGAGAUCGUGCUCACUGGCAACUUCAUCGAUGCCCAAGAGGCCGAGAAGAUGGGACUGGUGAGCCGCGUGUUCCCCGUCGAGAAGCUUCUAGAGGAAACGAUCAAGCUCGCCGAGCGCAUCGGCACCCACUCCCCCCUCGUCGUCAAGAUGGCCAAGAAGGCCGUCAACCAGGCCUACGAGACCACCCUCAGAAGCGGGCUCGAGUUCGAGAAGCAAGUGUUCUACGGCACCUUCGCUACGGUGAGUUCUACAUGUUUCUAGAAGAGACCCACUCGUCGAGAUGGCCAAGAAGGCCGUCAACCAGGCCUACGAGACCACCCUCGGGAGUCGGCUCGAGUUCGAGAAGCAGGUGUUCUACGGCACCUUCGCUACGGUGAGUUCUACAUGUUUCUAGAGGAGACCCACUCGUCGAGAUGGCCAAGAAGGCCGUCAACCAGGCCUACGAGACCACCCUCGGGAGCGGGCUCGAGUUCGAGAGCCAAGUGUUCUACGGCACCUUCGCUACGGUGAGUUCUACAUGUUUCUAGAAGAGACCCACUCGUCAAGAUGGCCAAGAAGGCCGUCAACCAGGCCUACGAGAUCACCCUCAGGAGCGGGCUCGAGUUCGAGAAGCAAGUGUUCUACGGCACCUUCGCUACGGUGAGUUCUACAUGUUUCUAGAAGAGACCCACUCGUCAAGAUGGCCAAGAAGGCCGUCAACCAGGCCUACGAGACCACCCUCAGGAGCGGGCUCGAGUUCGAGAAGCAAGUGUUCUACGGCACCUUCGCUACGGAGGACCGCAAAGAGGGUAUGACUGCUUUCGUUGAGAAGAGGCCACCCAACUUCAAGAACAACUGAUUUUAUACUUUGUUUAUACUGAAAAAUCAGAAAAUCAUGUAGGUCGUAAGAAAAAGUGCAAUUAUCUUGUUUAAAAUCCAGUCUAUAUUGUUUUACUACCGUUUACUGAAUAUACUACUUUAUUUUUAA
RNA transcript from Cydia fagiglandana, 1693 nucleotides. It is a transcript of the gene named enoyl-CoA hydratase, mitochondrial, with no coding region annotated. NCBI's taxonomy places the organism in Eukaryota, Metazoa, Arthropoda, Insecta, Lepidoptera, Tortricidae. The record is from RefSeq and is a predicted model, not a curated record. The transcript has 6 exons.